This is a long non-coding RNA of Octopus sinensis (East Asian common octopus), 837 nucleotides long. RefSeq lists it as uncharacterized. The record is from RefSeq and is a predicted model, not a curated record. Lineage: Eukaryota; Metazoa; Mollusca; Cephalopoda; Octopoda; Octopodidae. The transcript has 2 exons.
AUUCUUUCAGUUUCCAACCGGCAAAUCCACUCAUAAGGUUUCUUUUUGGUCUGGAGCUAUAGAAGAAGCCACUUACCCAAGGUACCAUCCACGCAAUGGGACUGAACCCAAAACUACAUGACUGGGAAGCAGACUGCUUAACCACACAGCCAUACCCAUAUCAAAAAAUCUUCUCUGCUGUAAUUCAAUGUUGAAGAAUUAUUAAAUCAAACCAAUUCCAUCUGUUAGUUAUCUUGUCUGUCAAUAACUUCCAGAGCAGACAAAAAAUCCAGUCCUAUGUUACACAAGAAGUUAAAGAGUUAAGCAUGGCUAAAGUAAAACAUGGCACAGGAAAUUAAUAUAGUGUGUUUAUGCAAUAGAAGCCGAAGAGGUAGAAGGAAAAAUUAAGUGUCUUUGGUUACAAAAAUCUGGAAGCAAUGGGAAAAUUUGGUUAUCAGAUCUGAAUUCAGCAUCACUGAUAUGGCAAGAAAUAGUAUUCUCAGGUUUGUAAGAGAAAAGAAAACAAAUUGAAAUUUAUUAUGUUGUGUAACAAGGUUUUUAUAGAGAUUUUAAUUAGAAACAUGUUAGAAAGAGGGGCUUCACUUAAGCUGGCUGAUUUUAAAAGAAAGAUUUCAAUAGAAAAAAAAUGGAGAAUAAGCGAAAUACUUUUUUGAGCAUUUUUAUUACAAAUAUGACAGUUUAUUUCUCAAAAAACAAAAACAUGGAAAAAGAAACAUACAAAAAUAGUUGUAACAAUCAGUCAUAUUACAACAAGAAUUGGAGAAAGAUGGCUCAAAAAAAAAAAAAAAUGGAAAGGAAAAUUUUAGAUAGUAAUCUCACAAUGUAUAUUAGAUUGUA